UUUCCGAUUUAGGGUUCCACGGAUUCCACCAUCACAGCCUAACUGAUACUCGGUCACCAAAGAGAAGACCGAGUAACAAACCUAAACGUAAAAGAGCUAUUUUGAGACCUGCAGAUUAGUUAUUGGGUGUUGUUGGUAUAGACGAAUUUGACUUACAACAUUUGAGUAUUUUUGGCUGUUGUUGGUAUAGACGAAUUUAGGGAAAAUUACGCUCUAUGUCUACUAAGAGAAAAUAUUUACGCCACAUAGCCCAUAUUUUGAGUUUGUUACCAGGUUUAGCCCGUAUCCGUAUAAACACCUUAUAUAUAAGGUUGAUACAUUGCAACCCCCUACCCCUCCCCCCUCCUCGGUAACAAACCUAAAUGUAGAAGACCUCCGGGUUAAUCUUCAUUUUCCUAUUUUAUACUUGAUUUGCAACCUAGGGUUUUGAAAUUUUAUGCCAUUUUCAAAUUUGGGCAUUUCAUUAUGCAAAUCUUCAUUUUCUAAUUAUAAGCACUCUUUUCAGUUAAUUGGAACCUAGGGUUUUGGACUAGGGUUUAAGGUUUUAUGUCAUUUUCAGAUUUGGGCAUUCAUUAUGCAGAUUAUGAUUUAUUUAUUUUUUGGUGUUUUUGGUAUGGAUGAAUGUCUUUUACAUAGAUGGUGUGUUUGGUAUGAGGGAAAAUUUUUUCCAAGAAAAUAAAUGAUUUUCCUAGCUCGUUUUUCUUGUGUUUGGUACGUAAGUUGAAAAUUGUCAUUUUAAGAGCAUUUGCAUAUAUUCAAAGCAAAACACUAUGAAGUUUUGUUAAUUCGGAGUGUAUCUUCUUGUCGUGGGGGGUAGGUGUAUGGGUGGUGGGGUAAGUGGGGUGGUGUGGAUGUGGAGCGGGUUGGCGGGGGUGGAGGUAGGCAGAAGGGGUGUGUGGAUGGAUUGUGUCGGUGUGUCUUCAUUCUGUGGAUGAGACUGAACUCUUAACUGAGGUCCAUAUGCAUGGGUAAAAUAUACCCCCGGUGAACCCCUAUAAGUCCAAACAAUCCCAAUGAAGGAAGUGUCAAGCGGAGGAAUGAGAAGAAGAGAAUCGGGUAGAGAAAGGCAUUUAUAUUGGUAUGAUCGUAGAACUGUGACCUUGUGGGGUGAGCUAGCUGAAAAAGAUGGGGAAAUACUACAAAAACUGAUAGAUACAAAACCCGUCGUAGCAUUUUGUGAUGUGAAAGGGUCGACGUAUCAAGGCAUGAUUGUUUGAAAGCGCAAAAUAAAGAUAUUACAUUAAUGCCAGCUAAGAUGAUUAGAGAAGCCAAAGAAGUGAAGAUCAAAGAUAUCAUAAAUGGUUCGUAUGCAACUAUGAAGGAUUUAUAUUGUAGAUUUAAUGCACGAGUAACAGUGAUUAUAGACAAAGAUGAGCCAUGGUAUUCUUCUUGCAAGAAAUGCUAUAAGAUAGUCAAUAUUGAAAAUAAAAUUGCAAAUUGUAGCAAUUGGAGGUCAGAAACCGUCGAUUACGAGGAAAGAUAUCGUUUAAAAAUUGAGGUGUUCGAUGGUGAAUGACAUAGCAAUGUUACACUUUUUGACGCUGCAAGGUACUUGCUAGGUUGUGAUGUUAACGAAUACAUCCAAUCAAUCUCUAAAUAGUUGACAAGUGAACUCAAGCCAAUGGUGUCAAGAGGAGCUUAAUUGCUGAAGAGAUGCAUGAAGUUGGAACUAUUGCUGCAAUUGAAAUUGAGGAAGAAGCAAUAGAGGUGCAGAAAAAACACGCGAAGAAAACAAGGAAUUGUGGAGACAAAGAAGACCCUCAUUCAAUAAUUUAUAAGAAAAUCAAAAUAGAAAAGGAUUAGGGAUUUAUUGUUGUUUUGUCAUUCCAGUGGACAUUCAUUAUCUUUUUUAUGAGUAGAUUUCCCCUAGUCUUUAUUUAAUUCUCUUAUGCUAUUGUAGUGUACUUUCGUUAGUCUAUAAUAUGUUACUAUUUAAGCUUCUUUUGAGAAUUAUAUUUAGUAAUUUGG
Molecule: long non-coding RNA, 1968 nt
Organism: Lycium barbarum (goji berry)
Lineage: Eukaryota; Viridiplantae; Streptophyta; Magnoliopsida; Solanales; Solanaceae
Exons: 7
Source: RefSeq, a predicted model, not a curated record